This 163-nucleotide non-coding RNA is filed under the name Bacillota bacterium. RNAcentral describes it as "6S RNA". It matches the Rfam family "6S / SsrS RNA". Rfam says of the family: E. coli 6S RNA was the first non coding RNA to be sequenced, but its function was unknown until recently. Lineage: Bacteria; Bacillati; Bacillota. The record is from RNAcentral.
AAUUGCCUGCGGCAUGAGAGGAUGCCUAUUUUUGUUGAGCCAACAUUUUUCCCUUGGGAGCCCCAUUCGGGCGGUGGAAUGGUUACAGGAAGCCGUUCUCAGGGCGCCCACUUGUAAAAAGGGACUCAACUAAAAAGGGACGCCACUCUGUCGCGGGCUUUUU